GACAACAUAGGAUCAGAACAACAUAGGAAAAGAACAACAUGGGAAAAGAACAACAUAGGAAAAGAACAACAUAGGAAAAGGACAACAUAGGAAAAGAACAACAUAGGAAAAGAACAACAUAGGAAAAGAACAACAUAGGAAAAGAACAACAUAGGAAAAGAACAACAUAGGAAAAAAACAACAUAGGAAAAGGACAACAUGGGAAAAGAACAACAUAGGAAAAGAACAACAUAGGAAAAGAACAACAUGGGAAAAGGACAACAUGGGAAAAGAACAACAUAGGAAAAGGACAACAUAGGAAAAGAACAACAUAGGAAAAGAACAACAUGGGAAAAGAACAACAUAGGAAAAGAACAACAUAGGAAAAGAACAACAUAGGAAAAGAACAACAUAGGAAAAGAACAA
Eriocheir sinensis (Chinese mitten crab) is the source of this 405-nucleotide long non-coding RNA. RefSeq lists it as uncharacterized. The transcript has 2 exons. The record is from RefSeq and is a predicted model, not a curated record. NCBI's taxonomy places the organism in Eukaryota, Metazoa, Arthropoda, Malacostraca, Decapoda, Varunidae.